RNAcentral lists this ribosomal RNA (654 nucleotides) under uncultured Gaetbulibacter sp. Its description in RNAcentral is "bacterial SSU rRNA". It matches the Rfam family "Bacterial small subunit ribosomal RNA", at positions 56 to 703 of the family's 1533-position model. Lineage: Bacteria; Pseudomonadati; Bacteroidota; Flavobacteriia; Flavobacteriales; Flavobacteriaceae. The record is from RNAcentral.
UGCAGUCGAACGGUAACAUAGAAAGCUUGCUUUUCUGAUGACGAGUGGCGCACGGGUGCGUAACGCGUAUGCAAUCUACCUUUUACAGGGGGAUAGCCCAGAGAAAUUUGGAUUAAUAUCCCAUAGUAUCAAGAGUCGGCAUCGGCAUUUGAUUAAAGAUUCAUCGGUAAAAGAUGAGCAUGCGUCCUAUUAGCUAGAUGGUGUGGUAACGGCACACCAUGGCAACGAUAGGUAGGGGCCCUGAGAGGGGGAUCCCCCACACUGGUACUGAGACACGGACCAGACUCCUACGGGAGGCAGCAGUGAGGAAUAUUGGACAAUGGGCGCAAGCCUGAUCCAGCCAUGCCGCGUGCAGGAAGACUGCCCUAUGGGUUGUAAACUGCUUUUAUACGGGAAGAAACACUCCCUCGUGAGGGAGCUUGACGGUACCGUAAGAAUAAGGAUCGGCUAACUCCGUGCCAGCAGCCGCGGUAAUACGGAGGAUCCAAGCGUUAUCCGGAAUCAUUGGGUUUAAAGGGUCCGUAGGUGGAUAAUUAAGUCAGAGGUGAAAUCCUGCAGCUCAACUGUAGAAUUGCCUUUGAUACUGGUUAUCUUGAGUCAUUAUGAAGUGGUUAGAAUAUGUAGUGUAGCGGUGAAAUGCAUAGAUAUUACAUA